UACACACCGCCCGUCACACCAUGGGAGUCAGUUGCUCCAGAAACGGCUGCGCUAACCCGCAAGGGGGCAGGUCUUUAAGGAGUGACUGGUAACUGGGGUG
Molecule: ribosomal RNA, 100 nt
Filed under: uncultured bacterium
Lineage: Bacteria
Description: partial 16S ribosomal RNA
Rfam family: Bacterial small subunit ribosomal RNA
Source: RNAcentral